Long non-coding RNA from Lycium ferocissimum, 608 nucleotides. RefSeq lists it as uncharacterized. The transcript has 3 exons. The record is from RefSeq and is a predicted model, not a curated record. Lineage: Eukaryota; Viridiplantae; Streptophyta; Magnoliopsida; Solanales; Solanaceae.
UGCCGCUGACACAUGCAGUAAAGGCAAAUGUUAGCGGCAAUUUUCCUAAUGCAGGGAAUAAGCAUGUUUUUAGAGGUAAUUGAAAAGAAUGGCCUCUAAAACUUUAGCCUUUUACUAUUAUUUUAUGUUUCCCUCAAUCUUUUUCUGUGCCCGCUAAGUUUCCCUCCAAAGAAUUUUCAUCUCCUAGGAAUCAAGUUUGGUCUUUUCAACCUCUAAAUUUGCCCUUAGCAUCUUUGCUUAAUUCCCCUAAUGGGAGAUCUGCACUAUUUCUCUGAUGAGUUCUCUGUCCCUCUGCGGUGAUAUAAUUGGUUGAACACAAAAAGGAGCAGAGAAGUGUGGUCUGUGGUAGCAUUCCAUUGCAGAUGGAUAAUAAGGUCAUGCAGUAUGAAGUUCAAAAAUUUCCCUUGUGGAAGAUUUCACUAUGAUGAAGAGUUUGGAAAAUUAUUUGAAGACAUUAAUCGAUAGGACUAGUUAUUUAUUUCAAACAAGAUCAUUUUAUUUUUUUAGGUUGUGACAUUAAUAUUUUGGAUUAGUACUUUCUUUUAUUUGUUUAGAUUUAAUAAGAUAUUUUUUUUAAUGAAUUAAUUGUCUUUUAGCACUUUCCAAUC